This 82-nucleotide transfer RNA is filed under the name Bacteroides sp. 43_108. RNAcentral describes it as "tRNA-Leu". It matches the Rfam family "tRNA". Rfam says of the family: Transfer RNA (tRNA) molecules are approximately 80 nucleotides in length. Their secondary structure includes four short double-helical elements and three loops (D, anti-codon, and T loops). Lineage: Bacteria; Pseudomonadati; Bacteroidota; Bacteroidia; Bacteroidales; Bacteroidaceae. The record is from RNAcentral. RNAcentral also lists the same sequence under 1 other name.
GGAGAGGUGGCGGAAUGGUAGACGCGCUACUUUGAGGGGGUAGUGUGCACGGCACGUGGGAGUUCGAGUCUCCUCCUCUUCA